UACGUAGGGACCGAGCGUUGUCCGGAUUCAUUGGGCGUAAAGAGCUCGUAGGCGGCUGUUCAAGUCGAACGUGAAAACUCGGGGCUCAACUCCGAGCCUGCGUUCGAUACUGGACGGCUAGAGUCUGGUAGGGGGAUCUGGAAUUCCUGGUGUAGCGGUGGAAUGCGCAGAUAUCGUAAGGAAGACCAGUGGCGAAGGCGGGUCUCUGGACAGUUCCUGACGCUGAAGCACGAAGGCCAGGGGAGCAAACGGG
RNAcentral lists this ribosomal RNA (253 nucleotides) under uncultured bacterium. RNAcentral describes it as "partial 16S ribosomal RNA". It matches the Rfam family "Bacterial small subunit ribosomal RNA", at positions 524 to 776 of the family's 1533-position model. The record is from RNAcentral.